Molecule: ribosomal RNA, 165 nt
Filed under: Lophiotrema sp.
Lineage: Eukaryota; Fungi; Ascomycota; Dothideomycetes; Pleosporales; Lophiotremataceae
Description: partial large subunit ribosomal RNA
Rfam family: Eukaryotic large subunit ribosomal RNA
Source: RNAcentral
CGGCAAGAGCUCAAAUUUGAAAUCUGGCCCUUUCAGGGUCCGAGUUGUAAUUUGUAGAGGGCGCUUUGGCGUCGGCCCCGGCCUAAGUUCCUUGGAACAGGACGUCACAGAGGGUGAGAACCCCGUACGUGGCCGCCGGCCUUCGCCGUGUAAAGCCCCUUCGAC